Molecule: ribosomal RNA, 655 nt
Filed under: Cymbidium serratum
Lineage: Eukaryota; Viridiplantae; Streptophyta; Magnoliopsida; Asparagales; Orchidaceae
Description: eukaryotic LSU rRNA
Rfam family: 5.8S ribosomal RNA (bases 242-397)
Source: RNAcentral
UCAAGAUCGAAACACAUCGAACGAUUCGGAGAACUUAUGAAGCAAGAGACAGUGGCUGCCACCACGGGACAACUAUCUCAGCCAUCGCCUCGUCCCCUCCUAGGAGGGGCACGGGGGGUACGGCCAGGGACGGAUGAAACACAAACUGGUGUAGCUACGUGCCAAGGGAAAAUUGAAAGGCACGGGCCCCGCAUUGGGCUUGGUGGCAUGGAGCUUCAUUGUGCUCCAUGCGGAUGGACACGACUCUCGAUAAUGGAUAUCUCGGCUCUUGGAUCGAUGAAGAGCAUAGUAAAAUGUGAUACGUGAUGUGAAUUGAAAAAUCCUAUGAACCAUCGAGUCUUUGAAUGCAAAUUACGCCCGAGGCCAGCCAACCGAGGGCACGUCCGCCUGGGCGUUAAGCGUCACAUCUCUCUGUGCCAACUCCAUCCCCUCGAUGGGUGCAUGUCGGCUGAGGCACGGACGUGCAGGGUGGCCUAUUGUGCCCUUCGGUGCGGAAGGCUGAAGAGUCGGUUGUCAUCUCACUGGCUGCGGGCAACGAGGGGUGGGUGAAAGCUGUGAGCACAUCCAGCGUUGUCUCGUGUGGAGCCUGAGAGAACGACGGUGCCCCCGAGGCGAUCUUGACCCAUGCACCAAUCUGCAUGCAACAGCUUGGAAU